UAGAGAAGUGUAUCUGGUGAGAAUAAU
This 27-nucleotide non-coding RNA is filed under the name Rattus norvegicus (Norway rat). The record is from RNAcentral. Lineage: Eukaryota; Metazoa; Chordata; Mammalia; Rodentia; Muridae.